CACCGCGGUUAUACGAGAGGCUCAAGUUGAUAGACUUCGGCGUAAAGCGUGGUUAAGAAAAUUUCAAACUAAAGCCGAAUGCCCUCAGAGCUGUUAUACGCUCACGACGGCUAGAAGCCCAAUUACGAAAGUAGCUUUACACAACCUGAACCCACGAAAGCUAUGGCA
Molecule: ribosomal RNA, 168 nt
Filed under: Scortum barcoo (barcoo grunter)
Lineage: Eukaryota; Metazoa; Chordata; Actinopteri; Centrarchiformes; Terapontidae
Description: partial 12S rRNA
Source: RNAcentral